RNAcentral lists this transfer RNA (65 nucleotides) under Dipodomys ordii (Ord's kangaroo rat). It matches the Rfam family "tRNA". From Rfam's summary of the family: Transfer RNA (tRNA) molecules are approximately 80 nucleotides in length. Their secondary structure includes four short double-helical elements and three loops (D, anti-codon, and T loops). Further hydrogen bonds mediate the characteristic L-shaped molecular structure. tRNAs have two regions of fundamental functional importance: the anti-codon, which is responsible for specific mRNA codon recognition, and the 3' end, to which the tRNAs corresponding amino acid is attached (by aminoacyl-tRNA synthetases). tRNAs cope with the degeneracy of the genetic code in two manners: having more than one tRNA (with a specific anti-codon) for a particular amino acid; and 'wobble' base-pairing, i.e. permitting non-standard base-pairing at the 3rd anti-codon position. Lineage: Eukaryota; Metazoa; Chordata; Mammalia; Rodentia; Heteromyidae. The record is from Rfam by way of RNAcentral.
GGUGGCUCAGAGGUAGAGUGCUUGCCUAGCAUGCAUGAGGCCCUGGGUUCAAUUCCUCAGCACCA